GAGCUCCCCGGUGACAUAGUGAUAACUCAAGAACAGAUCAUAGACGGAGACAACGAGUCCGAGAUGGGGAAGUUCAUGAUUGAUGUGAGAGAAUCAGAGCUGAAGAGCUCAGGUGUUGUUGUGAACAGCUUCUACGAGCUUGAACCUGAUCACGCAGACUUUUACAAGAGAUUUGUAGCUAAGAGAGCGUGGCAUAUCGGUCCGCUCUCUGUUAUAAACAGAGGAUUUGAAGAGAAGGCUGAGAGAGGAAAGAAAGCUAGCAUUGAUGAAGCUGAAUGCCUCAAAUGGCUUGACUCCAAGGAACAAGAUUCAGUCAUAUACAUUUCAUUUGGGAGCGUGGCUUGCUUCAAGAACAAGCAGCUGAGAGAGAUCGCUCUAGGGUUAGAAGCGUCUGGCACAAAUUUUAUUUGGGUUGUGAGGGAAAACACAGAUGACAAAGAAGAAUGGUUGCAAGAAGGGGUUGAAGAGAGGCUCAAAGAAAGAGGAAUGAUAAUAAGAGGAUGGGCACCACAAGUACUGAUACUUGAGCACCAAGCAACAGGAGGGUUUGUGACUCACUGUGGCUGGAACUCGCUUCUUGAAGGUGUGGCUGCAGGGCUACCUAUGGUGACGUGGCCUAUUGGAGCAGAGCAAUUCUACAACGAGAAGUUGGUUACGCAAGUUCUCAGAACUGGAGUGAACGUGGGAGCCACAAAGCAUGUGAAAGCUAUGGAAGAUGAUAUCAUUAGUAGAGAGAAAGUAGAGAAGGCGGUGAGAGAGGUCUUGGUUGGGGUAGAGGCGGAGGAGAGGCGUAAACGGGCGAAGAAGCUGGCGGAGAUGGCUAAAGCUGCGGUGGAAGAAGGAGGGUCUUCUUUUAACGAUCUAAACAACUUCAUAAAAGAGUUCAGCUCAUGAUGAUUCUUCGUAUAGAGUUUUGGUUACAACUCUUAUAUUGGGAAUAAGACAAAACCUAAUGUAAUAUUCAAGGAAUAUAGGUUAAUCAAUCUUUCAUUUUCACUUGAGCGAGCUAGUAUGAAUUUGUAUCUAGAAGCGGCAGUCAAUAAUUUUCCCAACUGUUUGAUUCUAAGAGGCGCCAAAAAUUCUGGUACAUGUUUAAAUCACGUCUUAAUUACAUUUGUCAAAGAUCCACCAACGUUAAGACUUGAGAGAUUUCAUAAAAAAAAAACAAGAGUUAAAGACAGAUGUGCGUUUUGAGAAAGUGGUGACACAUGAUCUUGUCUUGUUACAUGCACAUGCAUGCGUAAGAUUUGACUUUUCUUUGUUGGUAUGGAACCGAAAGAGCAGUUAAACUUUAUGAUAUAGAUAUACAAAUAAUACUCUCUAAAUAGCAUCAACAUUAAUUAUUACAUAUUGAUAACCUAUUAGAAUAUUUUUUUUAUUAAGAUAUAAACUCAUAUUGACUGUUUUAACAAAAGCGACAGCAUAAUUUCAAGUUAUACAUUAUACUAGUCAAUUAAUUAAAAAAAUUACUCAAAAUAUCAACAUAAUUGUAGAUUUUGAAUUGAUUUUCACUGAGACUUGAUCUAAACUAGUGGAGCGUGCCGGAUGAUGGUCAAACGAAACUAAUUAAGAAACAAUUAGUUUGAGUUAUUUCAUAUGAAUCGGUAUAAAAUAUAUAAAUUAAAAAAAAAUUGGUUCCACGAUACCUUGAAAACAGAUACUAGAUUCCAAAAAACCCAAAAUCAGUGACGUAUGCAAAGACGUCAGGUUCAUUAAACCAAAACGUUUCUUGUAUGUUAUAUAAAUAGAGAGAUGCAUAACCAACUCUUCUACAAGCUUCAGAAUCUUUCAUCUCUCUCAAAUUUCUCGAAACAUAUCAUUUUUUUUCAGUCAAAGUCAAACAUGGCUAGUAACUCUCAUAAGCUCCAUGUUAUGUUCUUCCCUAUCAUGGCUCAUGGUCACAUGAUACCAACUCUAGACAUGGCUAAGCUAUUCUCCAGCAGAGGAGCCAAGUCCACUAUUCUAACCACACCUCUCAACGCCAAGAUCCUCCAGAAACCCAUCGACAUAUUCAAGAACCUCAAUCCGAGUCUCCAAAUCGAGAUCCAGAUUUUGGAUUUUCCUUGCGUCCAGCUCGGGUUACCAGAAGGAUGCGAAAACGCUGACUUCUUCACCUUAACCAACAACAUUGAUGAUAGACGCGCCAUGAUCUCCAAAUUCUUUUUGGCGACCAGGUUUUUCAAAGACCAGCUUGAGAAGCUCCUCGAGACCAGGAGACCAGACUGUCUUAUCGCCGACAUGUUCUUCCCGUGGGCUACUGAAGCUGCUGAGAAGUUCCAUGUGCCAAGACUUGUGUUCCACGGCACUGGCUACUUCUCUUUAUGCGCUAGUUAUUGCAUCAGAGUGCAUAACCCACAGAAGAGAGUAGCUACAAGUAGCGAGCCAUUUGUGAUCCCUGAUCUCCCAGGGAACAUUGUGAUAACUCGAGGACAGAUCUUAGACCGUGGUGAAGACACCGAGAUGGGGAAGUUUAUGACCGAGGUUUUAGAAUCAGAAGCGAAGAGCUCAGGUGUUGUUGUGAACAGCUUCUACGAGCUUGAACCUGACUAUGCUGAUUUUUACAAGAGUAGUGUAGCAAAGAGAGCGUGGCAUAUUGGUCCGCUCUCGGUUCACAACAGAGGAUUUGAGGAGAAGGCUGAGAGAGGAAAGAAAGCAAGCAUUGAUGAAGCUGAAUGCCUCAAGUGGCUUGACUCCAAGAAACCAGAUUCAGUCGUUUACAUUUCAUUUGGGAGCGUGGCUAACAUCAAGAACGAGCAG
This 2757-nucleotide long non-coding RNA is filed under the name Brassica napus (rape). RNAcentral's name for it is "long non-coding RNA (BNAP_LNC014509)". The record is from RNAcentral. Lineage: Eukaryota; Viridiplantae; Streptophyta; Magnoliopsida; Brassicales; Brassicaceae.